Bison bison bison is the source of this 83-nucleotide microRNA precursor. The record is from Ensembl. Lineage: Eukaryota; Metazoa; Chordata; Mammalia; Artiodactyla; Bovidae.
UAUUGAGUUGGCCAAAAUGUUUAUUCAGAUUUUUCCAUAGCACCUUAUAGAAAAACGCAAAUGAACUUUUUGGCCAAUCCAAU